Molecule: ribosomal RNA, 431 nt
Filed under: uncultured bacterium
Lineage: Bacteria
Description: partial 16S ribosomal RNA
Rfam family: Bacterial small subunit ribosomal RNA
Source: RNAcentral
AACGAACGCUGGCGGCAGGCUUAACACAUGCAAGUCGAACGCCCCGCCCGGGGUGUGGUAGGCGGGUGAGUAACGCGUGGGAAUCUACCCUGAACUGCGGGAUAGCUCCGGGUAACUGGUAUUAAUACCGCAUGUGCCCUGAGGGGCAAAGAUUUUUCGGUUUAGGUUGGGGCCGCGUCCGAUUGGCUGGUUGGUGGGGUGAAGGCCUACCAAGGCGACGCUCGGUGGCUGGUCUGAGUGGAGGAUAAGCCACAUUGGGACUGGGCCACGGCCCAAACCGCGACGGGGGAGAGCAGUAGGGAAUAUUGUACGAUGGGCGCUAGCGUGGUCCAGCCAUGCCGCGUAAGUGAUGAAGGCCCUAGGGUUGUAAAGCUCUUUCACCGGAGACGAGAAUGACGGUACCCGGAGAAGAAGCCCCGGCUAACUUCGUG